Crenothrix polyspora is the source of this 73-nucleotide non-coding RNA. NCBI's taxonomy places the organism in Bacteria, Pseudomonadati, Pseudomonadota, Gammaproteobacteria, Methylococcales, Crenotrichaceae. The record is from Rfam.
GCCCAGGUAGCUCAGUCGGUAGAGCAAAGGAUUGAAAAUCCUUGUGUCGACGGUUCGAUUCCGCCCCUGGGCA